This 439-nucleotide ribosomal RNA is filed under the name uncultured bacterium. Its description in RNAcentral is "partial 16S ribosomal RNA". It matches the Rfam family "Bacterial small subunit ribosomal RNA", at positions 339 to 795 of the family's 1533-position model. The record is from RNAcentral.
CUACGGGCUGCAGCAGUGAGGAAUAUUGCACAAUGGGGGGAACCCUGAUGCAGCAACGCCGCGUGGAGGAUGACGCAUUUCGGUGUGUAAACUCCUUUUAUAUGUCAAGAAAAUGACGGUAGCAUAUGAAUAAGCACCGGCUAACUCCGUGCCAGCAGCCGCGGUAAGACGGAGGGUGCAAGCGUUACUCGGAAUCACUGGGCGUAAAGGACGCGUAGGCGGGUUGGAAAGUCAGGUGUGAAAUCCUACAGCUUAACUGUAGAACUGCACUUGAAACUUCUAAUCUAGAGUAUGGGAGGGGGAGAUGGAAUUAGUGGUGUAGGGGUAAAAUCCGUAGAUAUCACUAGGAAUACCUAAAGCGAAGGCGAUCUCCUGGAACAUUACUGACGCUAAGGCGUGAAAGCGUGGGGAGCAAGCAGGAUUAGAUACCCCAGUAGUC